CACACGUACAAUAGUCACAUGUGUCCUCAUAAACUAUGAGUAAACAUACACAAGUUUGUAAAGUUAUAGUCUACCGCUGAGUCACAUUAUAGCUCAUUUUUUCUUUUUUUCUGUCUUCCAGCUUGUCCAUGAGCCUGUCGCUUCAGGAAAUGAAGUCACAUCUCCUAAAGAGCUCGUCCAUGAGCCUGUCGCUUCAGGAAGUGAAGUCACAUCUCUUAAAGAGGUAAUAAUGGUAAGAUCCCAGCAGGAAGCUAGAAGGCCAGGCAGUGGCAAUGAUGAGCCUUUGAAAAGGAGGAAACCAUGCCUGAAGUACCCAUCUGAAGGAACAAACACUUGUCAUAAAUGUCUCUCAAAACAAUGUCUCCGGCAGAGGAAAGGGUACGCUCAAAAAACCCUGGACAAAAGCUGAAGUGAGUGGUAAAUGGACUGCAUUUUAUAUAGCGCUUUUAACAGACCUAUGGCCAUCCAAAGCGCUUUACAAUUUGCCUCACAUUCACCCAUUCACUCUCUCAUUCAUACACCGACGGUGGUGUGAGCCAUGCAAGGGGCCAUCCAGCUCAUCAGGAGCAGCUGGGGUUAGAUGUCUUGCUCAAAGACACCUCGACACUUGAUCAGGUGGAGCCGGGGAUUAAACCACCAACCUUCCGGUUUGUAGACAACCUACAUGAACCACUGAGCCACUGCCGCCCCAGUGAACGCUGUAAUGUGACACUUCAGAUCUCACAUCAGCAAAGGUCACUUGGCGUCAGUGAGAGAAUGUGAGGUCUGUAAAAGAUGUGAGCAUCCAGUGCUACAAAAUAGGACAGAGCAAAAUCUCAGAGAGUUUGUUUGAAACCGAGGGCUUACCUUUAAGCGCAUGGAAAAGUGAGUCAAAAUGUUCAGAAUGUAAUGCUGUUGAUUUUAAAGUAACGUUUUGUAAUUGCCGUCAUUGAAGGAACACGCCAACAUUUUGGGAAUUUAGCUUAUUCACCGUAUUCCCCAGAGUUAAAUAAGUCCAUACAUAUUUUUCUGUGCCUGCUGUAACCCUGUCUGACGCAGCCCUUGCUAGCUUAGCUUAGCACAAAGACUGGAAGUGAAUGGCUCCAGCAAGCAUACUGCUCCCAAUACGUGACAAAAUAACACAAACAUUUUCCCAUUUAUGUGUUGUGAUUUGUACAGUCGCACCAUGUACAAAUAACAAGGUGAUAUGAGACACAGCCAUCUUUUAACGAAUACAUACUGGGAACUAUAUUCUCAGAAGGCGAAGCACUGCUACUUGGGCGUAGUGAUUUGCUCGCAGCCCCCGAGAAGCCCCCUGGUGAGGAGCAGAGAGUUCGGUCAGAGUUGUGCAAAUCACUCCGCCCAAGUAGCAGUGCUUCGUCUUCUGAGAAUAUAGUUCCCAGUAUGUAUACCAGGGCUCGAAAUUGCGACUGUUUUGGUCGCAUAUGCGACCAAAAUUUAAUCUGUGCAACCUUAAAAAAUAUUUGGGAGCAUUUUUGCAACUGCUUAUUUUGUUGUGGUGUGACUUGAUUUAGAUAGUGUAUGCUGUGUGCUGUUCCAGGUUCAGCGUUCUCUCCAGCAUUACAUAACCAAUCAAAUUUCACCAUUAAGUUUUUGCGUUUAAUGAAGAGCACAGAUUGGUUAAUAUGAAUGUCAAUCAUUCCUUGUUGCCGUGCUACGUUGGUACGCAAAGCGCGAAAAUGUGAAAAAACGAACCACGAGAAUGAAGAGAACGAGACGACUACAGCCAAUCUUACUACUGUAUUAAUGGAGGUUGCAGGUAAAACGGCGUUGGUGGCGGAAUCCACACAUUUUAAGCGCGAGACCUUGCUUGAACAUGGCGAAAGUGCCA
Non-coding RNA from Misgurnus anguillicaudatus (oriental weatherfish), 1831 nucleotides. The record is from RefSeq and is a predicted model, not a curated record. NCBI's taxonomy places the organism in Eukaryota, Metazoa, Chordata, Actinopteri, Cypriniformes, Cobitidae.